UACGCUUUAGUAUAAAAUGUACAGGAAUUUUUGAUGUUCUUAGGGAUAGUUUAAUUCUAUCAGGUGUAA
This 69-nucleotide transfer RNA is filed under the name Cryptocephalus schaefferi. RNAcentral's name for it is "tRNA-Gln". The record is from RNAcentral. Lineage: Eukaryota; Metazoa; Arthropoda; Insecta; Coleoptera; Chrysomelidae.